UUUAAGCUUCCUACGGGAGGCUGCAGUGGGGAAUCUUGCGCAAUGGGCGAAAGCCUGACGCAGCCAUGCCGCGUGAAUGAUGAAGGUCUUAGGAUUGUAAAAUUCUUUCACCGGGGACGAUAAUGACGGUACCCGGAGAAGAAGCCCCGGCUAACUUCGUGCCAGCAGCCGCGGUAAUACGAAGGGGGCUAGCGUUGCUCGGAAUUACUGGGCGUAAAGGGAGCGUAGGCGGACAUUUAAGUCAGGGGUGAAAUCCCGGGGCUCAACCUCGGAAUUGCCUUUGAUACUGGGUGUCUUGAGUAUGAGAGAGGUGUGUGGAACUCCGAGUGUAGAGGUGAAAUUCGUAGAUAUUCGGAAGAACACCAGUGGCGAAGGCGACACACUGGCUCAUUACUGACGCUGAGGCUUAGUACGUGGGGAGCAAACAGGAUUAGAUACCCUUGUAGUCGAAUUCU
Molecule: ribosomal RNA, 455 nt
Filed under: uncultured bacterium
Lineage: Bacteria
Description: bacterial SSU rRNA
Rfam family: Bacterial small subunit ribosomal RNA
Source: RNAcentral